This 1030-nucleotide long non-coding RNA is filed under the name Rhinolophus ferrumequinum (greater horseshoe bat). RNAcentral describes it as "lncRNA (ENSRFEG00010020612.1)". The record is from RNAcentral. Lineage: Eukaryota; Metazoa; Chordata; Mammalia; Chiroptera; Rhinolophidae.
CUGAGUGUGAGGUUGCCAUAGUGUUUUCCAUGGGAGUGGUGCCUCCGUUCUACCUCUCCGAACUUCCUGGAUGCUUGGGACCCACAAGGACCCGUCGGCCGAAUUAGGGAAAAAGAAGCCUUGGCCGAUAAUGCAGGUAUCGAGGGGCGAGGUCGGCGGUGCCUCUGCGUUUGGGGCAGUUCUCGCGUCCCCCAGUGGGUCGCGUAGCGCCUGGUUUGAGAGUUCCCGCGGCUCUCAACUCGUGGCGACUUAAUCUCCCUGUGCCUCCCGUUCCUCUUAUUUAAAAUGGAGAUUUAGGACCUUCCUAAUAGAAUUGUUUUGGGAAUUGAAAGAGGUGGUACAAAUCUAAAUCUUAAAAGAGUUCUUGCCUUCUGGUGAAUGGUGAUGUCUCAAUUUCCUGAGGAGCGAUCAGGUCCCCAAGUUAGGGUCAGAGCUCCCCAGCUGCAGUGACCCUGGCUCUUUUCUCUGAUCGCGGCAUUCCGCUGGGUAAUCCCAGACUCCUUCUGACGUCUUUUUUUAAGAAAGGUGAGGAUUGCUUCUAGAUUGCACGGAGGGAGAGGAGGCUUUAAUUUUUCUGGAGGACGGCGACACGAUCAUGGCAUUUCAUAGCAUUCUUUCUUUCCCCAGCUUGAUUUCUCAAAAAGGACUGAACCGAGAUAGAGGGAGUGACUCCUUGGCUACUGACAGCAGAGCUCCACGCACUGCCAGGCACAGUUCUGCCUCGCUGGGACCUGUAUUACUCAGGACUCCACAUGUUCCCAGAAGUUCGAGGAAGAAUGACCACAUUCAAGGUGAGUCGGGCUUGCCUUUCUCACUUUGAAAAUUCCAUCUCAUUACUCAGUUCUUUUCUUGGGACAACUUAAGCAGAACAACAGGAAACUGAGGACCUGUUGUGCUCCCAGGUCUUACUUUGUCCCUUUUGGGUUUACUUUGCAUUUGUUUUUACUUUUUGUUUUAUUUUAUUAUUGUUUUAUGGAAUGGAAAAAUUCUUAGAAAUGAACAAUUCUCCCACUUUACUGCUUCUCUACUG